AUGGAAUAAUGAAAUAGGAUGUUUGAUCCUAUUUUGUUGGUUUCUAGGAUCGACGUAAUGAUUAAUAGGGAUAGUUGGGGGCAUUAGUAUUCAAUUGUCAGAGGUGAAAUUCUUGGAUUUAUUGAAGACUAACUACUGCGAAAGCAUUUGCCAAGGAUGUUUUCAUUAAUCAAGAACGAAAGUUAGGGGAUCGAAGACGAUCAGAUACCGUCGUAGUCUUAACCAUAAACUAUGCCGACUAGGGAUCGGAUGAUAAAUUUUUAAUAACUCAUUCGGCGUCUUACG
Molecule: ribosomal RNA, 285 nt
Filed under: uncultured Glomeromycotina
Lineage: Eukaryota; Fungi; Glomeromycota
Description: partial 18S ribosomal RNA
Rfam family: Eukaryotic small subunit ribosomal RNA
Source: RNAcentral